UCUACAUAUCAUAACGUAGCCCACAGUACAUAUCGUAGGCUACAUAACAAACCGUAGCCCACAGUACAUAUCGUAGGCUACAUAACAAACCGUAGCCUACAGUACAUAACAUACCAUAGCCUACAGUACAUAACAUACCGUAGCCUUACAGUACAUAUCGUAGCCUACAGUACAUAUCGUAGUCUACAGUACAUAUCAUAGCCUACAUAACAUACCGUAGCCUACAGUACAUAGCAUACCGUAGCCUACAGUACAUGGUGUAUAGUAUCAACAUCAAGGACCAGGUACUCUUGGUAAAGUAAAGCAAUGGUUUCAACAUGGGACUUGUACCCUUAUAGUAUGUCAACUGUUUCUUCAUGGAUAGACAGGAUCCUGCAUUCAUGACAACGGGGGGGAACUAGAAUCAGAAUCAUAAAACACGGGAUGAGAUGUUAAAAACUGUCCAUUGUGCCAAUAGAUGGUAUGCACUCACAUGAGAUUUGCCGUGAUGUUGACAGAGUGGCAUGGGAGGUUUAUUUCUUAGACUGGGUUAAGAUGUACAUUUUGGGACACAUCCUCAGUAGUGUGCCUUCGAAUCAGUGGGUGUUUCGGCCUUUAAUCACUAAACACACUCAUCAAAGGUGGCCGGCUAAAGGGUGAUCAAGCCGUAGCUUGUGUCCCAUGCCCAAUUAAGAUGUCCUACAUUUCCCAUUAAAAUGAAUGUAAGUUAUUUGCAAAGAGCUUCCAAUUGGUUAAUUCGGAUCAUUUUCAAGUGAGAAACUCAGGUAUCAUCUUUCAAAUAAAAUCAUCAAUACAAAUUGUAUUGGUCACAUACACAUGAUUAGCAGAUUUUAAUGCGAGUGUAGCGAAAUGCUUGUGCUUCUAGUUCCGACAGCGCAGUAAUAUCUAACAAGUAAUCUAACAAUUCCACAACAACUACCUAAUACACACAAGGUUAAAGGAAUGAAUAAGAAUAUGUACAUAUAAAUAUAUGGAUGAGCGAUGACUGAGCGGCACAGGCAAGAUGCAGUAUAUGGUAUAAAAUACAGUAUAUACAUACACUGUCGUUCAAAAGUUUGAGGUCACUUAAAAAUGUUCUUGUUUUUGAAAGAAAAGCAUAUUUUUUGGACCAUUAAAAUAACAUCAAAUUGAUCAGAAAUAGAGUGUACACAUUGUUAGUGUUGUAAAUGACUAUUGUAGCUGGAAAUGGCUGAUUUUGAAUGGAAUAUCUACAUAGGCGUUCAGAGGCCCAUUAUCAGCAACCAUCACUCCUGUGUUCCAAUGGCACAUUGUGUUAGCUAAUCCAAGUUGAUCAUUUUAAAAAGGCUAAUUGAUCAUUAGAAAACCCUUUUGCAAUUAUGUUAGCUCAGCUGACAACUGUUGUCCUGAUUAAAGAAGCAACAAAACUGACCUUCUUUAGACUAGUUGAGUAUCUGGAGCAUCAGCAUUUGUGGGUUUGAUUACCGGCUCAAAAUGGCCAGGAACAAAGACCUUUCUUCUGAAACUCGUCAGUCUAUUCUUGUUCUGAGAAAUGAAGGCUAUUCCAUGCCAGAAAUUGCCAAGAAACUGAAAAUCUCGUACAACGCUGUGUACUACUCUCUUCACAGAACAGAGCAAACUAGCCCUAACUAUAAUUAGAAAGAGGAGUGGGAGGCCCCGGUGCACAACUGAGCAAGAGGACAAGUACAUUAGACUGUCUAGUUUGAGAAACAGACGCCUCACAAGUCCUCAAAUGUUAGCUUCAUUAAAUAGUACCCGCAAAACACCCGUCUCAACGUCAACAGUGAAGAGGCGACUCCGGGAUGCUGGCCUUCUAGGCAGAGUUCCUCUGUCCAGUGUCUGUGUUCUUUUGUCCAUCUUAAUCUUAAUAUUUUUUAUUGUCCAGUCUGAGAUGUGGCUUUAUCUUUGCAACUCUGUCUAGAAGGCCAGCAUCCCAGAGUCACCUCUUCACUGUUGACGUUGAGACUGGUGUUUUGCAGGGACUAUUUAAUGAAGCUACCAGUUGGUGAGUAAUAUACUCGGAAGCGGUGGGUGAGGUGCACGUCUUCGAAGUCUGACCAGGAGGCCACUCUGUCUACCUCUUCUGCGGCGACGUUGUUUUGGGUCGGCCUCUGGGAUUAGAUCCAACGUCCUGGGUGGUGCGAACAAUGGAUCCACUUCGGGAAAGUCGUAUUCCGAGAUACGAGUUUCCAAGUCGAAAAUGUCAGAGUUUCCUAGUUCCGACAUGUCAUGAAUGCAGCAAAAUAAUUACAAUUUUUAACUCAAACUAUAUUGGAUUCUGCUGGGACUCAGAGUUCAUUACAGUAUACUAUUUAAAGACAGAUCCAGUCAAAACACAUGAUUUAUGACACAUUAAAAGUCUAUGUAAUACAGUUUAAAUUCAGAUAGCUCUGUUGUUUAUCUACGCAUAGUCCCUUUACCCCUACCUAUAUGUACAAAUGACCUCGGGCUAACCUGUAACCCCGCACAUUGACUCGGUACCAGUAACCACUGUAUAUUGUCUCGUUGUUGUUAUUUUAUUGUGUUACUUUUUCUUAUUAUUUACUUUAGUUUAUUUGGAAAAUAUUUUCUUAACUUGCUUGAACUGCAUUGUUGGUUAAGGGCUUGUAAAGUCAGCAUUUCACUGUGAGAUCUACACCUGUUGUAUUCAGUAUUUCACUGUGAGAUCUACACCUGUUGUAUUCAGUAUUUCACUGUGAGAUCUACACCUGUUGUAUUCAGUAUUUCACUGUAAGGUCUACUACACCUGUUGUAUUCAGCAUUUCGCUGUCAGGUCUACUACACCUGUUGUAUUCAGCAUUUCACGAUAAGGUCUACUACAC
Long non-coding RNA from Oncorhynchus tshawytscha (Chinook salmon), 2801 nucleotides. Lineage: Eukaryota; Metazoa; Chordata; Actinopteri; Salmoniformes; Salmonidae. The record is from Ensembl.